RNAcentral lists this long non-coding RNA (1134 nucleotides) under Anser brachyrhynchus (Pink-footed goose). RNAcentral describes it as "lncRNA (ENSABRG00000016700.1)". Lineage: Eukaryota; Metazoa; Chordata; Aves; Anseriformes; Anatidae. The record is from RNAcentral.
GGUUUUUGUGUUUUUAUUUUUUGACUCUUGACCAUAGGGUGUAUUACCAGAGGCAAAGAGAAGAAGAAAUAACGCCUGAUUUCUUUACCUACAGAGCAGGGAACCUCAGUUAUUAAUGAGAUACAAGAGGUGACAUUUAUAUAGGCCUCACUGUAACAGAGCCCCUCAUAAUCACCAGUGGACUCCAUCCUACUUUUAUGCGAAGCAGUGGAUAUUCAUCCUUACUACACCGAGAGGGAACACAAGCACUGGUGAAGUGACGCCCCCAGGGAUGCCCCAGCCAGGCUGAGAACCUGCCGCGCACCUCCUGCACCCAGCUCCAGCCUGCACUGCUUCGGGCAGCACGGCGUCGCACCGGGUGAUGCUGGAAGCCAACACAGGGUGGUGUGGGCAUCACAAAAGGGAGAGAGAAGACAAAAUGCUCUGCACGUUCUGAAAUCUGAAUUUACCGGCAGGGUCAGGGAGCUAUUUUACUUGCUGCCACUGUGAACUCCGGGAAUGGAAUCAAUUAGUAUUAGUUUAAAACAUCAUCUGUUUCAGUUUAACAGAAAGCUUCUGUUCAAUGAAAUACAGGAUUGGUAAAUGAAAAAAAUAAAAGUUGAUCUGAUUUUAGUAACUCCUAAGGUACUAUGUUAGGUGUGUCAGAGGUAUAUCAUACAUCUGCCACAAAUGCGUAUGACAAUACAUUACUCUUGCUGUUCUUCACCUCUUCAGAUAAGGAGAUCCCAGUAAGUCGUGCACGAGCACAAAUCACAAAUCUGCACUAAGAAAGAUGUUUCACCAGCAACUGAGCAGAUGUGUGACUGAGCAUUUUCUCCAAUUAUAGGUACCAGGCACCAGGUGAGCAUACGUGGGAGGCCGGUGGGACUGGCCCACGGCGGAGGAAGAGCGGAGAACAUCCCGAGACAUCCCAUAACAACAUCUGCGUCCUGCCACCCUCAUUCGGUGCUUGCCCCCACUUCGCAGGAAAACCAGCGUCCUGGGUCUGUGAGUAAAAUCAAUAAUGGGGAAGAAAUUCCCAGCACCGUAACAGGGACAGUGGUGUCCGCAGCCCCAUUCUUUCUUGAAACUGUGUUAUUAUGGGAUGGAGUGUUAAGGAUCUGUCAGCAUUUCUAUUACAAACCUCAGUCUUUA